RNAcentral lists this ribosomal RNA (253 nucleotides) under uncultured bacterium. Its description in RNAcentral is "partial 16S ribosomal RNA". It matches the Rfam family "Bacterial small subunit ribosomal RNA", at positions 524 to 776 of the family's 1533-position model. The record is from RNAcentral.
UACGAAGGGGGCUAGCGUUGCUCGGAAUUACUGGGCGUAAAGGGCGCGUAGGCGGCACUGUUAGUCAGGCGUGAAAGUCCUGGGCUCAACCUGGGAACUGCGCUUGAUACGGCAGAGCUAGAGGAUGGAAGAGGGUCGCGGAAUUCCCAGUGUAGAGGUGAAAUUCGUAGAUAUUGGGAAGAACACCGGUGGCGAUGGCGGCGACCUGGUCCAUUACUGACGCUGAGGCGCGACAGCGUGGGGAGCAAACAGG